GUCAGAAUGGCCGAGUGGUCUAAGGCGCCAGACUCAAGGUUGUGCACCUUCUCCAAAACAGAGAGAUUUUUGGUCUCUGGAUGGAGGUGUGGGUUCAAAUCCCACUUCUGACA
Molecule: transfer RNA, 113 nt
Filed under: Astyanax mexicanus (Mexican tetra)
Lineage: Eukaryota; Metazoa; Chordata; Actinopteri; Characiformes; Acestrorhamphidae
Rfam family: tRNA
About the family: Transfer RNA (tRNA) molecules are approximately 80 nucleotides in length. Their secondary structure includes four short double-helical elements and three loops (D, anti-codon, and T loops).
Source: Rfam by way of RNAcentral